RNAcentral lists this ribosomal RNA (1343 nucleotides) under uncultured bacterium. Its description in RNAcentral is "16S ribosomal RNA". It matches the Rfam family "Bacterial small subunit ribosomal RNA", at positions 28 to 1378 of the family's 1533-position model. The record is from RNAcentral.
GACGAACGCUUGCGGCGUGCUUAACACAUGCAAGUCGAACGGAAAGGCCCUGCUUUUGUGGGGUGCUCGAGUGGCGAACGGGUGAGUAACACGUGAGUAACCUGCCCUUGACUUUGGGAUAACUUCAGGAAACUGGGGCUAAUACCGGAUAGGAGCUCCUGCUGCAUGGUGGGGGUUGGAAAGUUUCGGCGGUUGGGGAUGGACUCGCGGCUUAUCAGCUUGUUGGUGGGGUAGUGGCUUACCAAGGCUUUGACGGGUAGCCGGCCUGAGAGGGUGACCGGCCACAUUGGGACUGAGAUACGGCCCAGACUCCUACGGGAGGCAGCAGUGGGGAAUAUUGCACAAUGGGCGGAAGCCUGAUGCAGCAACGCCGCGUGCGGGAUGACGGCCUUCGGGUUGUAAACCGCUUUCGCCUGUGACGAAGCGUGAGUGACGGUAAUGGGUAAAGAAGCACCGGCUAACUACGUGCCAGCAGCCGCGGUGAUACGUAGGGUGCGAGCGUUGUCCGGAUUUAUUGGGCGUAAAGGGCUCGUAGGUGGUUGAUCGCGUCGGAAGUGUAAUCUUGGGGCUUAACCCUGAGCGUGCUUUCGAUACGGGUUGACUUGAGGAAGGUAGGGGAGAAUGGAAUUCCUGGUGGAGCGGUGGAAUGCGCAGAUAUCAGGAGGAACACCAGUGGCGAAGGCGGUUCUCUGGGCCUUUCCUGACGCUGAGGAGCGAAGGCGUGGGGAGCGAACAGGCUUAGAUACCCUGGUAGUCCACGCUGUAAACGGUGGGUACUAGGUGUGGGGUCCAUUCCACGGGUUCCGUGCCGUAGCUAACGCUUUAAGUACCCCGCCUGGGGAGUACGGCCGCAAGGCUAAAACUCAAAGGAACUGACGGGGCCCCGCACAAGCGGCGGAGCAUGCGGAUUAAUUCGAUGCAACGCGUAGAACCUUACCUGGGUUUGACAUGGAUCGGGAGUGCUCAGAGAUGGGUGUGCCUCUUUUGGGGUCGGUUCACAGGUGGUGCAUGGCUGUCGUCAGCUCGUGUCGUGAGAUGUUGGGUUAAGUCCCGCAACGAGCGCAACCCUUGUUCACUGUUGCCAGCACGUUAUGGUGGGGACUCAGUGGAGACCGCCGGGGUCAACUCGGAGGAAGGUGGGGAUGACGUCAAGUCAUCAUGCCCCUUAUGUCCAGGGCUUCACGCAUGCUACAAUGGCUGGUACAGAGAGUGGCGAGCCUGUGAGGGUGAGCGAAUCUCGGAAAGCCGGUCUCAGUUCGGAUUGGGGUCUGCAACUCGACCUCAUGAAGUCGGAGUCGCUAGUAAUCGCAGAUCAGCAACGCUGCGGUGAAUACGUUCCCGGG